CCUACGGGAGGCUGCAGUCGAGAAUCAUUCACAAUGGGGGAAACCCUGAUGGUGCGACGCCGCGUGGGGGAAUGAAGGUCUUCGGAUUGUAAACACCUGUCAUGUGGGAGCAAAUUAAAAAGAUAGUACCACAAGAGGAAGAGACGGCUAACUCUGUGCCAGCAGCCGCGGUAAUACAGAGGGCUCAAGCGUUGUUCGGAAUCACUGGGCGUAAAGCGUGCGUAGGCUGUUUCGUAAGUCGUGUGUGAAAGGCGCGGGCCCAACCCGCGGACGGCACAUGAUACUGCGAGACUAGAGUAAUGGAGGGGGGACCGGAAUUCUCGGUGUAGCAGUGAAAUGCGUAGAGAUCGGGAGGAACACUCGUGGCGAAGGCGGGUUCCUGGACAUUAACUGACGCUGAGGCGCGAAGGCCAGGGGAGCGAAAGGGAUUAGAUACCCCUGUAGUC
This 446-nucleotide ribosomal RNA is filed under the name uncultured bacterium. RNAcentral's name for it is "partial 16S ribosomal RNA". It matches the Rfam family "Bacterial small subunit ribosomal RNA", at positions 338 to 795 of the family's 1533-position model. The record is from RNAcentral.